RNAcentral lists this ribosomal RNA (254 nucleotides) under uncultured bacterium. Its description in RNAcentral is "partial 16S ribosomal RNA". It matches the Rfam family "Bacterial small subunit ribosomal RNA", at positions 524 to 776 of the family's 1533-position model. The record is from RNAcentral.
GACGAACCAAGCGAACGUUAUUCGGAAUUACUGGGCUUAAAGCGCGUGUAGGCGGAUGACCACGUCAGUCGUUGAAAUCCCCCGGCUCAACCGGGGAACAGGCGCUGAUACGAGUUGUCUUGAGGUGGGUAGGGGAGACUGGAACUUCCGGUGGAGCGGUGAAAUGCGUUGAGAUCGGAAGGAACGCCCGCGGCGAAAGCGAGUCUCUGGACCCAUUCUGACGCUGAGACGCGAAAGCCAGGGGAGCAAACGGG